RNAcentral lists this ribosomal RNA (225 nucleotides) under uncultured bacterium. Its description in RNAcentral is "partial 16S ribosomal RNA". It matches the Rfam family "Bacterial small subunit ribosomal RNA", at positions 57 to 305 of the family's 1533-position model. The record is from RNAcentral.
GCAAGUCGAGCGGUAACACUUCGGGUGACGAGCGGCGAACGGCUGAGUAACACGUUGGUACAUGCCUUUGAUUCGGGGAUAAGCACGGGAAACUGUGUCUAAUACCGGAUAGUCCAGAAAUGGUAAAGCUUUUGCGAUCAAAGAGUGGCCUGCGGCGUAUCAUGUUAGUUGGUGGGGUAAUGGCCUACCAAGACUCUGACGCGUAUCUGGUGUGAGAGCACGAUC